CAGAAAUCCAGGGUGCCAACUUAUGUUUUAGUUUGUAUGAUUGCAAGUCUACUUGGCCUAAAGGGAGAGUUACUGUAACAACAUUGCUAUUGCCAAGCAUGCCAAAGUAGUACCUCUGAAGUUAUUAGAUUAAUUGAAUCUCCAUUGUGCUAUCAUUCCAAAUAAUCUACUCUUGUUUGCUUCUCCUUCUUCCACUUGUCCCCUUGACUUUGACCACCUUAGAUUAUUCAUUUCUGAUAGAAUUCAGAUUGUAUUCUGGCAACAAAUGCAUAUUUUAAAUGCUUUCGUAUGAAAUUCAUUAAUGGUUUUCACCUUUCCUUUGCGUCAUAACUUGGAAAUUUAAACAAAGUAUGCAUUGUAUGCAUGUGAGAGUUUAAAUGCGAGUCUCCUUUCUUCCAACCCCAUCUCAGACUCCAAUUGGUAUGCCUACUUGUAAAUUGUGUCUGCAGAGUGUUUUGGAUGGAUACAAUG
Molecule: unclassified non-coding RNA, 471 nt
Filed under: Hevea brasiliensis (rubber tree)
Lineage: Eukaryota; Viridiplantae; Streptophyta; Magnoliopsida; Malpighiales; Euphorbiaceae
Source: RNAcentral